GAUGAACGCUGGCGGCGUGCCUAACACAUGCAAGUCGAACGAAGCACCUUACCUGAUUCUUCGGAUGAAAGUGUGGUGACUGAGUGGCGGACGGGUGAGUAACGCGUGGGUAACCUGCCCUGUACAGGGGGAUAACAGCUGGAAACGGCUGCUAAUACCGCAUAAGCGCACGAGGAGACAUCUCCUUGUGUGAAAAACUCCGGUGGUACAGGAUGGGCCCGCGUCUGAUUAGCUGGUUGGCAGUGUAACGGCAUACCAAGGCAACGAUCAGUAGCCGGUCUGAGAGGAUGAACGGCCACAUUGGAGCUGAGACACAGUCCACACUCCUACGGGAGGCAGCAGUGGGGAAUAUUGCACAAUGGGGGAAACCCUGAUGCAGCAACGCCGGGUGAGUGAAGAAGUAUUUCGGUAUGUAAAGCUCUAUCAGCAGGGGAGAUAAUGACGGUACCUGACUAAGAAGCACCGGCUAACUACGUG
This 477-nucleotide ribosomal RNA is filed under the name uncultured bacterium. RNAcentral's name for it is "partial 16S ribosomal RNA". It matches the Rfam family "Bacterial small subunit ribosomal RNA", at positions 28 to 507 of the family's 1533-position model. The record is from RNAcentral.